UUUUAGGGAGACCAUCUGAGCAACUACCGAACCUAAACAAUAGGUAGUAAUCAGUAUCCCUGGUCGUUCGAGAAAUAGAUGUCAAAGCUUUCAAACUAUUAACUGGUUCGGGAAAUGGGCUAUUAGCUCAGUUGGUUAGAGCGCACCCCUGAUAAGGGUGAGGUCCCUGGUUCAAAUCCAGGAUGGCCCACCUGGAAAAAAGUAAUGAAUUCAAAGUAAUGAUUCAUGGAUAAUUAAUCCAAGAGUCAGAGCAGGAAAAUCAAAACUAAUUAGUGGGGGUAUAGCUCAGCUGGUAGAGCGCCUGCCUUGCACGCAGGAAGUCAGCGGUUCGAGUCCGCUUACCUCCACUCUCACUAGCUAUCUAUCUAAGUACAACCAUAAUCAAAAAACAGAAGCUCAGAGAAAUCAGCACCUAGACUAUCCCAUGUGAAAGUCAGAAUGCUGGAGUCUAAGACUCUAGUCAGAACCUUGAAAACUGCAUAGAAAUUAAGUCAUCAUCAAGCAGGUAAGUCAUCCGAGCAAUCGGAAAAUCUUACAAAGCAGACGACCAUCAAAAAAU
This 559-nucleotide transfer RNA is filed under the name Microcoleus autumnalis KOVACIK-ANT 2003/43. Its description in RNAcentral is "Phormidium autumnale KOVACIK-ANT 2003/43 partial 16S-23S ribosomal RNA intergenic spacer". The stretch from base 275 to 347 matches the Rfam family "tRNA". Lineage: Bacteria; Bacillati; Cyanobacteriota; Cyanophyceae; Oscillatoriales; Microcoleaceae. The record is from RNAcentral.